UACGGGAGGCAGCAGUGGGGAAUAUUGCACAAUGGGCGAAAGCCUGAUGCAGCUAUGCCGCGUGUAUGAAGAAGGCCUUAGGGUUGUAAAGUACUUUCAUCGGGGAGGAAAAACAAAACUAAUAAUUUUAUUUCUUGACGUUACCCGAAAAAGAAGCACCGGCUAACUCCGUGCCAGCAGCCGCGGUAAUACGGAGGGUGCUAGCGUUAAUCAGAAUUACUGGGCGUAAAGAGCACGUAGGUGGUUUUUUUAAAGUCAGAUGUGAAAUCCCUGGGCUUAACCUAGGAACUGCAUUUUGAAACUGAAAUACUAGAGUAUCGUAGAGGGAGGUAGAAUUCUAGGUGUAGCGGUGAAAUGCGUAGAUAUCUGGAGGAAUACCUGUGGCGAAAGCGGCCUCCUAAACGAAUACUGACACUGAGGUGCGAAAGCGUGGGGAGCAAACAGGGAUUAAUACC
Molecule: ribosomal RNA, 455 nt
Filed under: uncultured bacterium
Lineage: Bacteria
Description: bacterial SSU rRNA
Rfam family: Bacterial small subunit ribosomal RNA
Source: RNAcentral